GAUGAACGCUGGCGGCGUGCCUAAUACAUGCCAGACGAGCGAACAGACGAGGAGCUUGCUCCUCUGACGUUAGCGGCGGACGGGUGAGUAACACGUGGAUAACCUACCUAUAAGACUGGGAUAACUUCGGGAAACCGGAGCUAAUACCGGAUAAUAUAUUGAACCGCAUGGUUCAAUAGUGAAAGACGGUUUUGCUGUCACUUAUAGAUGGAUCCGCGCCGCAUUAGCUAGUUGGUAAGGUAACGGCUUACCAAGGCAACGAUGCGUAGCCGACCUGAGAGGGUGAUCGGCCACACUGGAACUGAGACACGGUCCAGACUCCUACGGGAGGCAGCAGUAGGGAAUCUUCCGCAAUGGGCGAAAGCCUGACGGAGCAACGCCGCGUGAGUGAUGAAGGUCUUCGGAUCGUAAAACUCUGUUAUUAGGGAAGAACAAAUGUGUAAGUAACUAUGCACGUCUUGACGGUACCUAAUCAGAAAGCCACGGCUAACUACGUG
Molecule: ribosomal RNA, 497 nt
Filed under: uncultured bacterium
Lineage: Bacteria
Description: partial 16S ribosomal RNA
Rfam family: Bacterial small subunit ribosomal RNA
Source: RNAcentral